CCUACGGGAGGCAGUAGUGAGGAAUAUUGGUCAAUGGGCGGAAGCCUGAACCAGCCAAGUAGCGUGCGGGAUGAAGGCCCUACGGGUUGUAAACCGCUUUUGCACGGGGAUAACACCCUCCACUUGUGGAGGUCUGCAGGUACCGUGCGAAUAAGGGCCGGCUAAUUCCGUGCCAGCAGCCGCGGUAAUACGGAAGGCCCGAGCGUUAUCCGGAUUCAUUGGGCUUAAAGGGAGCGUAGGCGGCCGUUAAAGUGAGCGGUAAAAUCGCGCGGCUCAACCGCGCCCCGCAGUUGAAACUGGACGGCUUGAGUGCACGACAGGCAGGCGGAAUUCGUGGUGUAGCGGUGAAAUGCAUAGAUAUCACGAGGAACCCCGAUUGCGAAGGCAGCCUACCGGAGUGCGACUGACGCUGAGGCUCGAAGGUGCGGGUAUCGAACAGGAUUAGAUACCCUGGUAGUC
This 459-nucleotide ribosomal RNA is filed under the name uncultured bacterium. Its description in RNAcentral is "partial 16S ribosomal RNA". It matches the Rfam family "Bacterial small subunit ribosomal RNA", at positions 338 to 795 of the family's 1533-position model. The record is from RNAcentral.